ACAUUGGUAGUUUAGUGGUGGAACUCCUGCCUUCCAUGUAAGAGACCUGAGUUCGAUUCCCGGCCAAUGCA
This 71-nucleotide transfer RNA is filed under the name Loxodonta africana (African savanna elephant). It matches the Rfam family "tRNA". Rfam says of the family: Transfer RNA (tRNA) molecules are approximately 80 nucleotides in length. Lineage: Eukaryota; Metazoa; Chordata; Mammalia; Proboscidea; Elephantidae. The record is from Rfam by way of RNAcentral.